Salvia miltiorrhiza (redroot sage) is the source of this 1782-nucleotide RNA transcript. RefSeq lists it as uncharacterized. The record is from RefSeq and is a predicted model, not a curated record. The transcript has 6 exons. NCBI's taxonomy places the organism in Eukaryota, Viridiplantae, Streptophyta, Magnoliopsida, Lamiales, Lamiaceae.
AGAUAACUUCUCCCACCCUACCCACCCCCACACGAAGAGAUGGAGAAAGCUCACAUCCAAUCUCCUCUGCCACCGGCCCACUCUGCUCCAUUACCUCUUCAAUUUCUUACUUCUCACACACAGACUCUACUGCCACCAUCUAGUCCUCUUCGAUUCAUCUGCUAACUUUGCUAACUUGUUAUUUCUCUUCAGCCUCCACCCACAUGUGGCGCGGCUAUUUACGCUGCCUCGUUCUGGAGAUUUUCAAUAGUUUUCAAAUGGUAGGAGGGGCAUGCGAUAAAGGUGAAAUAAUGGACAGCUAUAUGAAGCUCACUAUGGUGGUCAGAGAUGUUUGGUAAAUGGAUGAUAGAUUUGAAGAAUAGGGGGUACUGAGUGAUCAAGAAACCCUACAUAUGGAUAAGCAUUGCGCCGAGAGGGGAGAUGGUUAACUACCUGGAUCCAGAAGGGAGGGCGGAGCUAACCGCAGAAGAUUUGAUGGCGGAAUCGGGGGUUGUGGAGAGUGAGUUGAUUCAGGUGAAUGUGAAUUUCAUUGGGGAUUGCCAUGUGGUGGUGGAGGAGAUAGAAAACUCUCCAGGAACAACUCUUUCUAUGUUAGUUUUUCUAGGUGUAGUUCUUUAACUUUUUUGCUUCUUUUCUUUUUCUAUUUCGACCCACGUCUCUUUUAAUCAUAUUGUGUGGAAAAAUUGUUGAUUUUGCACUCUUCAGUUUAUUAGUUUUCUUCUGAUUUUAUUUGUCUUGGUUAUGUUUGAAUCAAUGCCAGGUAUAUUCCUAAAGGGAUACUUUUUUAUCUUCUUUGCUUGGAACCAGAGAGACCUUGGAACUUGACUGUAUGAUCUAUCUUUACAUUACUCUGAUCAAUUUUCUUACUGUUAUUCCUUUAGCCACUAUUUGAUAUAUACCUAUUUCAUAUUAGUGCUUAUUAUGGUAUGGAAUCAAUUUGUUGGUCAAUUUUUUGAUGAUGUUAGUUUCUACAUUUGCUAGUUUGUAUAACAUAACUUAGUAGCUUCUUUUAAAUGGAUAUUAGUGAACCUGAAAAAAGAAUAUAAAUUUUGUUUGGAGCUUCGAACUAAUUCUCAUAUUCGCUUGAUUUGUCUGAAGUUUAUUGAACUAAUUUUGUUUAUUUAAAUUGUGCUUGGAUAAUCUAGUUGUGUCUACUACAGCCUGGGGUCUCAUUCCUAAGCUGAAUGUACAAAUAAAAUUUUGAUCUCAUUGAGCCUGAGUCAACUUUUAUAAACCUUUUGUUGGAUUUAGAACUUUCAAGAUACCUGCUGUAUUUCCGAUAUAUUUUGUGGUAGAGAACAAGUGCUUUGGAGAAAUCUCUGAGGGAAAAUGUUGGUUGGCAGAAAUUGAUAAAGAGAGGCAUGCACGCUUUGAAGAAGCCACAAUACGAGUAAUGCUAUAUUGAUCCUGGAAUUGCAAGUGAGAAAGAGUUGGAGGAGCUCAAGGACAUACAAGAAGACAUCAGAGAAGAGAAGCAGCAGAUGCUCCACACAACUCAUUUUUCUACUAAGUGUUGAGAUCAUGUGUUGGAUACUUUUUGAUAAGAGAGAUUUACAUCUUGCAGAAGACAGUAGAGAGUUGGAAGAAUAACACGGUAGCAUGAGAAUUAUGUAUUGGUUUUAGUUUUAGCCAUCUCAUUAGAUAGUUGUUAUGUUAGUGCUACUUCAUCAAGAGCUGAUAAGAUUCUCUAGAUUUUUUAGUUAUUUUUCUCAAUUACUUUUUUAUUGAUACAACUUUGUAAUUGUUUCAAAUUUGAAAUAAAUAGAAAAUAUUUUAUUUCAA